This 73-nucleotide transfer RNA is filed under the name Felis catus (domestic cat). It matches the Rfam family "tRNA". From Rfam's summary of the family: Transfer RNA (tRNA) molecules are approximately 80 nucleotides in length. Their secondary structure includes four short double-helical elements and three loops (D, anti-codon, and T loops). The record is from Rfam by way of RNAcentral. Lineage: Eukaryota; Metazoa; Chordata; Mammalia; Carnivora; Felidae. RNAcentral also lists the same sequence under 4 other names.
ACCUAGCUGGCUCAAUCAGUAGAGCAUGCAACUCUUGAUUUUGGGGUCAUGAGUUCAAGCCCCAUGUUGGGGG